Molecule: long non-coding RNA, 760 nt
Filed under: Parus major (Great Tit)
Lineage: Eukaryota; Metazoa; Chordata; Aves; Passeriformes; Paridae
Description: lncRNA (ENSPMJG00000015566.1)
Source: RNAcentral
UCCUAUUUACAGUCUAUUUUAAUUUUUUCUAUUAUUUUUUUCUAGUCUUCUAUUUGUUCUAUUUUCUUUUUUCUAAUUUCUUCUAUUUUCUCCAAUUUUCUAUUUUAAUUUUUUCUUUUCUUUUUUUCUGAUUUUCUUCUAUUUUCUCUCUCUUUUUGUUCUAUUUUCUUUUUGUCCUGUUUUUUUUUUUUCUCUCUUCUCUCUGCUCCUCCCCUGCCCAACUGCCGCCAUUUUACCAAAAAGUCCUUUUUUUUCCCUCCAGAUGGGGCAACUGCGAAGAAAAACUUUCCUUUCCCUGCCGACUCCAUCUUCACUCUUCAAUUUUCCUGUUCUUCCCUCAAAAUUGGCUCCUCUCAAUCCAUCCUGAGCCUGAAAAUGCCGCAUUUCACCCCAAACCGGCCGCCCCCGCCUGCGCUGCCCGGCCCGGCCCCGCUUGGGGACAAAACUACAUUUUUUAAAGCUUUAGGAGCUUUUGUUUAAAAAUUAAAUUUAGGAGCUUUUUUAGCAGAAAAUAGCGUAUCAAGCGCUUUUUCUUUCUUUAAAUUAAAGCAGCUGAAAAAGCUCUUUUUUUAAAAUUAAAACCGCCCCAGCUCGCUCCGGCUUUUCGAAAAUAUCACAUUACGAUAUUUUAAGAAUUAAAGAGCUGCGAGAGCUGCGUUUCCUCUCAGAAAUCGGCUUUGAAAGCAGCGAUUUCUUAAAAACCAGCAUCAGAAGCUUCGGUUUAAAUAAAACCCAGCUUUAGGAGCUUUUCUAAGGUUUU